AUGUGUUUUUAUAAUCAUGGCACUCUCCAACACACUAUGGCGCCUGCCAUGGCUAUUGAGUGGGAAGAAACGCGUUAUAACCUCCCUUCCCAUGAAUUUCAAACUUCCAAUCAUCAAAAAAACUUUUUCCCACUCACCCAUUUAUCUUCCACCACCUCCAUAAUUUCCCCACUUCCUCUAAUUCAUUCAUACUCGUUAAAAACCUAUUAA
This is a non-coding RNA of Vicia faba (fava bean), 210 nucleotides long. The record is from the annotation of a GenBank genome assembly. Lineage: Eukaryota; Viridiplantae; Streptophyta; Magnoliopsida; Fabales; Fabaceae.